GACGUAGGGGACGAGCGUUGUCCGGAUUCAUUGGGCGUAAAGGGCUCGUAGGCGGCCAACUAAGUCAGACGUGAAAUCCCUCGGCUUAACCGGGGAACUGCGUCUGAUACUGGAUGGCUUGAGUUCGGGAGAGGGAUGCGGAAUUCCAGGUGUAGCGGUGAAAUGCGUAGAUAUCUGGAGGAACACCGGUGGCGAAGGCGGCAUCCUGGACCGACACUGACGCUGAGGAGCGAAAGCCAGGGGAGCAAACGGG
Molecule: ribosomal RNA, 253 nt
Filed under: uncultured bacterium
Lineage: Bacteria
Description: partial 16S ribosomal RNA
Rfam family: Bacterial small subunit ribosomal RNA
Source: RNAcentral